CCAGACCGGGCAGCAGCUGCUGCUGGGCGCCUACCAGGCGCUCAGCCGCCAGAUCGACGCGGGCGGCGUGGA
RNAcentral lists this transfer RNA (72 nucleotides) under Streptomyces cinnamoneus. RNAcentral's name for it is "tRNA-Gly". The record is from RNAcentral. Lineage: Bacteria; Bacillati; Actinomycetota; Actinomycetes; Kitasatosporales; Streptomycetaceae.